Molecule: non-coding RNA, 1416 nt
Organism: Salmo salar (Atlantic salmon)
Lineage: Eukaryota; Metazoa; Chordata; Actinopteri; Salmoniformes; Salmonidae
Source: RefSeq, a predicted model, not a curated record
GGGAGAGGGGUCCAGGUUAUAUGGGAGAGGAGUCCAGGAUAUAUGGGAGAGGAGUCCAGGUUAUAGAGGGGUCCAGGUUAUAUGGGAGAGGAGUCCAGGAUAUAGAGGGGUCCAGGUUAUAGAGGGGUCCAGGUUAUAGAGGGGUCCAGGUUAUAGAGGGGUCCAGGUUAUAGAGGGGUCCAGGUUAUAUGGGAGAGGGGUCCAGGAUAUAUGGGAGAGGAGUCCAGGUUAUAUGGGAGAGGGGUCCAGGUUAUAUGGGAGAGGAGUCCAGGAUAUAUGGGAGAGGAGUCCAGGAUAUAUGGGAGAGGAGUCCAGGUUAUAGAGGGGUCCAGGUUAUAUGGGAGAGGAGUCCAGGAUAUAUGGGAGAGGAGUCCAGGAUAUAUGGGAGAGGAGUCCAGGAUAUAUGGGAGAGGAGUCCAGGAUAUAUGGGAGAGGAGUCCAGGUUAUAUGGGAGAGGGGUCCAGGUUAUAGAGGGGUCCAGGUUAUAUGGGAGAGGAGUCCAGGAUAUAUGGGAGAGGGGUCCAGGAUAUAUGGGAGAGGGGUCCAGGUUAUAUGGGAGAGGAGUCCAGGAUAUAUGGGAGAGGAGUCCAGGAUAUAUGGGAGAGGAGUCCAGGAUAUAUGGGAGAGGGGUCCAGGAUAUAUGGGAGAGGAGUCCAGGUUAUAGAGGGGUCCAGGUUAUAGAGGGGUCCAGGUUAUAUGGGAGAGGAGUCCAGGAUAUAUGGGAGAGGGGUCCAGGAUAUAUGGGAGAGGAGUCCAGGAUAUAUGGGAGAGGAGUCCAGGUUAUAGAGGGGUCCAGGUUAUAUGGGAGAGGAGUCCAGGUUAUAGAGGGGUCCAGGUUAUAGAGGGGUCCAGGUUAUAUGGGAGAGGAGUCCAGGAUAUAUGGGAGAGGGGUCCAGGAUAUAUGGGAGAGGGGUCCAGGUUAUAUGGGAGAGGAGUCCAGGAUAUAUGGGAGAGGAGUCCAGGUUAUAGAGGGGUCCAGGUUAUAUGGGUCCAGGUUAUAGAGGGGUCCAGGUUAUAUGGGUCCAUCUCUGUUAUAGAGUCAAUGGAUGAUUGUGUGUUCUUGACAAUGUCUUCCUCACCUGAAAAUAGUUGUCUGUUUUUGUCCAACUUCAAGUCAAUUGAUUAAUGCAGAUAUACGAUUUCAUGUGGCGCCUAGGAAUUAUCUACACAGACCUUCCCCAUGAUACCUUACCCACGCCCUACUGUUAUAGAGACACCUUACCCACGCCCUACUGUUAUAGACACCUUACCCACGCCCUACUGUUAUAGACACCUUACCCACGGCCUACUGUUAUAGAGACACCUUACCCACGCCCUACUGUUAGACACCUUACCCACACCCUACUGUUAUAGAGAUACCUUACCCACGCCCUACUGUUAUAGAGACACCUUACCCACGCCCUACUGUUAUAGAGA